AAAUUAUUGGCACAGGCACAUCGUUAUGUCUUACUUCACAGUGACUUAAUAUCCGAGUAUCGCAGAGAUUUUUUAGUGGCUCAACGAAGCGCCAACAAUAACAUUCAUCCUACCCCAAGGAUUGAGCAAAGAUGGUUGGUUGAGUUAUUUCCUGAAUGGUUAUUAAAACAGGUACCGACCAUGAUGGAGAGACAUUGUUCCAAUGAAUUAAUAGUCCUUGCUCGAGGUCCGAACAAUAUUGUCAACAGAUAUGAUGGGUUCAUUAUAAAUGGUUUUAAAUUUCAUACAAAAAAACGUGAAAAAUUUAGAAAAACACAAAAUAGUGGAGUUAUGGUUGAGGCGGACGGAAAAAUUUAUUAUGGUGCCCUAACAGAUGUUUAUGAGUUGGAUUAUUACGGGAACUUUAAGGUAGUAUUAUUUCGAUGUGAUUGGGUGGAUAUAAACUCAUCUAGAGGUUUGAGGCAAGAUAUAAAUGGCUUCACACUAGUAAAUUUUUCAAG
Molecule: non-coding RNA, 500 nt
Organism: Phoenix dactylifera (date palm)
Lineage: Eukaryota; Viridiplantae; Streptophyta; Magnoliopsida; Arecales; Arecaceae
Source: RefSeq, a predicted model, not a curated record